RNAcentral lists this transfer RNA (75 nucleotides) under Cordylochernes scorpioides. RNAcentral's name for it is "tRNA-Val". The record is from RNAcentral. Lineage: Eukaryota; Metazoa; Arthropoda; Arachnida; Pseudoscorpiones; Chernetidae.
UGUUUCUGUGCCAGGGUUCGAACCUGGGACCUUCCGCGUGUUAGGCGGAUGUGAUAACCACUACACCACAGAAAC